This 440-nucleotide ribosomal RNA is filed under the name uncultured bacterium. RNAcentral describes it as "partial 16S ribosomal RNA". It matches the Rfam family "Bacterial small subunit ribosomal RNA", at positions 338 to 795 of the family's 1533-position model. The record is from RNAcentral.
CCUACGGGAGACAGCAGUGGGGAAUAUUGCACAAUGGGGGAAACCCUGAUGCAGCAACGCCGCGUGAGUGAAGAAGUAUUUCGGUAUGUAAAGCUCUAUCAGCAGGGAAGAGAAUGACGGUCCCUGACUAAGAAGCACCGGCUAACUACGUGCCAGCAGCCGUGGUAAUACGGAGGGGGCAAGCGUUAUCCGGAUUUACUGGGUGUAAAGGGAGCGUAGACGGCUGUACAAGUUAGAAGUGAAAGCCCGUGGCUCAACCGCGGAACUGCUUUGGAAACUGUAAAGCUUGAGUACUGGAGAGGCAGGCGGAAUGCGUAGUGUAGCGGUGAAAUGCGUAGAUAUUAGGAGGAACACCAGUGGCGAAGGCGGCCUGCUGGACAUAAACUGACGUUGAGGCUCGAAAGCGUGGGGAGCAAACAGGAUUAGAUACCCCAGUAGUC